GGCCAGACUCCUACGGGAGGCAGCAGUGGGGAAUAUUGCACAAUGGGGGAAACCCUGAUGCAGCGACGCCGCGUGAGUGAAGAAGUAUUUCGGUAUGUAAAGCUCUAUCAGCAGGGAAGAAAAUGACGGUACCUGACUAAGAAGCCCCGGCUAACUACGUGCCAGCAGCCGCGGUAAUACGCAGGGGGCAAGCGUUAUCCGGAUUUACUGGGUGUAAAGGGGGCGCAGACGGCGAUGCAAGCCAGGAGUGAAAGCCCGGGGCCCAACCCCGGGACUGCUCUUGGAACUGCGUGGCUGGAGUGCAGGAGGGGCAGGCGGAAUUCCCGGUGUAGCGGUGAAAUGCGUAGAUAUCAGGAGGAACACCGGUGGCGAAGGCGGCCUGCUGGACUGCAACUGACGUUGAGGCCCGAAAGCGUGGGGAGCAAACAGGAUUAGAUACCCGGGUA
RNAcentral lists this ribosomal RNA (446 nucleotides) under uncultured bacterium. RNAcentral's name for it is "bacterial SSU rRNA". It matches the Rfam family "Bacterial small subunit ribosomal RNA", at positions 329 to 792 of the family's 1533-position model. The record is from RNAcentral.